GCGGAUGUGGUGUAGGGCACACCGCUGCAUACAGCUGUUCGAAAUCGUCUUGAAGCAGUUGGACGGGGUUCGAUUCCCCGUGUCCGCA
This is a non-coding RNA of Mycena vulgaris, 88 nucleotides long. The record is from the annotation of a GenBank genome assembly. NCBI's taxonomy places the organism in Eukaryota, Fungi, Basidiomycota, Agaricomycetes, Agaricales, Mycenaceae.